AUUGAACGCUGGCGGCAGGCUUAACACAUGCAAGUCGAGCGAGCGGCGGACGGGUGCGUAAUGUCUGGGAAACUGCCUGAUGGAGGGGGAUAACUACUGGAAACGGUAGCUAAUACCGCAUACCAUCAGAUGUGCCCAGAUGGGAUUAGCUAGGAGGUGGGGUAAUGGCUCACCUAGGCGACGAUCCCUAGCUGGUCUGAGAGGAGGACCGGCCACACUGGAACUUAGACACGGUCCAGACUCCUACGGGAGGCAGCCGUGGGGAAUAUUGCACGAGGGGCGCAAGCCUGAUGCAGCCAUGCCGGGUGUGUGAAGAAGGCUUUCUGGUUGGAAAGCACGUUCAGCGAGGAGGCGUUACUCGCAGAAGAAGCACCGGCUAACUCCGUGCCAGCAGCCGCGGUAAUAC
This 406-nucleotide ribosomal RNA is filed under the name uncultured bacterium. RNAcentral's name for it is "partial 16S ribosomal RNA". It matches the Rfam family "Bacterial small subunit ribosomal RNA", at positions 30 to 526 of the family's 1533-position model. The record is from RNAcentral.